GACGAACGCUGGCGGCGUGCUUAACACAUGCAAGUCGAACGCUGAAGCUCAGCUUUUGUUGGGUGGAUGAGUGGCGAACGGGUGAGUAACACGUGAGUAACCUGCCCCCUUCUUUGGGAUAACGCCCGGAAACGGGUGCUAAUACUGGAUAUUCACUGGUCUUCGCAUGGGGGUUGGUGGAAAGGGUUUUUCUGGUGGGGGAUGGGCUCGCGGCCUAUCAGCUUGUUGGUGGGGUGAUGGCCUACCAAGGCUUUGACGGGUAGCCGGCCUGAGAGGGUGACCGGUCACAUUGGGACUGAGAUACGGCCCAGACUCCUACGGGAGGCAGCAGUGGGGAAUAUUGCACAAUGGGGGCAAGCCUGAUGCAGCGACGCCGCGUGAGGGAUGGAGGCCUUCGGGUUGUGAACCUCUUUCGCUCAUGGUCAAGCCGCAACAAUGGUUGUGGUGAGGGUAGUGGGUAAAGAAGCGCCGGCUAACUACGUG
Molecule: ribosomal RNA, 483 nt
Filed under: uncultured bacterium
Lineage: Bacteria
Description: partial 16S ribosomal RNA
Rfam family: Bacterial small subunit ribosomal RNA
Source: RNAcentral